Non-coding RNA from Chiloscyllium plagiosum (whitespotted bambooshark), 1955 nucleotides. The record is from RefSeq and is a predicted model, not a curated record. Lineage: Eukaryota; Metazoa; Chordata; Chondrichthyes; Orectolobiformes; Hemiscylliidae.
GAGCUCCGAUAUUGGUCUGACAUGUGGCGCAUUUGUUUGAGCAGGUUGCAGACACGGAAUUUGCUUUCGACUGUCCGCCACUGAUCAAGGUUACAGUCCAUCGAUCAGGGCCAAACCUGACCUCAGAGGACAGCAAGAAUGUUGUUUUGGCAAGAUAUGAGCCACGGACAUUUGUACAGACAGACAAGCCUGUUUACAAAGCUGGGCAAACAGUGAAGUUCAGAAUUGUGACACUAAAUGAGAAUUUCAUGGCUGUUCAGGAAAAGUAUUCCCUGAUAACCAUCUGGGUGAGUACAGCCUACAGAUUCCAACAUUAAUGCAAAUGUUAAAGUCAGACCAAACACACAACAGCUCCCAUUCCACCGGAAUGAACUGCCUCCUUUUCAGACAUAAUGUAAUAUUGUGAUUGUUCGUCACUACAAGUCCUUUUACACCAAGUUCAUUAAUUUAUCCUUUCUCAUUACAAAAUACUAAAUCUAAAAUGAGCACAACUUUGAGUUGGCUCAUCAACUCGCUGCUGGAGAGAAGCAGUUUUGGAACCCUUGUCCUCCAUAGCUUCAGUACUGAGUUCAGUCACCCAGCAGAAGUAUGGACAGGGUGAUUCUGUAUCCAUGGAAUCGUUUUCCGUGAUUUUAGUUACCCAUGUUUUACCGUGGCUGCAAUAGGUAAAAGGGAACCUACUAGAACCAGGGGGCUGCCAGGCAGGGAAACUUCUCAUCAAAAUGAUUGGGUUUGCUCCUAUCCACAGUAGGUUCUAGGAACGUAUCCCCUGUAGAUACGGAGGGGGCGAACCACUGUACUAUUGUCACACAUUGUAAAUGCUCAAGCUAUGUACUUCUCAUAUCUCCUGAUUAAUGCCAUGCCCUACACUGCCGUACUUAAUUGGUGGCCUAUAAAUUGCUGCAAUCAAUGGCUGCUACUCCCUUCCUAUUCCUUAGUCUAACCCAUGCAGAUUUCACACAAUCUUCUUCCAAUCCGCAAUCUUCCUUUAAUAAUGUACUGAUGCCAAACCUAAUUAUCAGCACAACUUUUCCUUCUUGUUUAGUCAUCCUAAAUGUUGAAUAUUCAAUUCCUAAUUCCAGUUACUUUGCAACCAAGUUUCUAUAAUGGCAAUUUGAUCAGACCCACUUAUUUUUGUUUAUGUCUUCAGAUUAUCAGCUUUGAUGUGAAUGCAGGUAGAGUGCCCGAAACUUUGUCCUUCCAAUAUCAUUCCACUUUUGAAAUACACUUCAUGCCAGGCCGUGGUUCUCCUGGUUUCUAGUCUUCCAGGAUCUUUUCAACUUCCCUUUACUAACAUUACAUCCUUUCAGAUUGGAUUCCCCUACAUUGUCCAAAACCUUCUCUUGAGCUAGUUUAAACCUCAGCCCAACAGCACGAGUAAAGCUCCCUUGUGAGCAUAUCAGUGCUAGUGUGUUAAGGUGUAACCCACUCAGUUGUACAGGUCUGACCUGCCCCAGAACUGCUCCCAAUGUCUCAGGAAUCGGAUUCCCUCCCUCCGGCAAUGUGUCCAAUUAGUCUGUCCUCCUGUUCUGAUGUUCAGUUCGCACGUGGCAUUGGGAGUAAUCCUGAGAUUACGGCUGUUGAGGUCCUGCAUUGCAAAUUUCUGCUGAACUCCCUGUAAUCUGCUUCAGGACCUUGUCCCUCUUCCUACCUUUGUCCUUAGUAUCAUUGUGGACCAUGACUGACCUCCCUGUCACUGAGGAUGGCCUACAGCUGCUGCCUGCUGUCAUUGAGUUUGGCAACAGGGAGGCAACACACCAUCCUGGAAUCACCUUUAUUGUCCCUGUAAAUCCUGAUGAUUCUCUGACUGUGGAAUCCCCUGUAACUAUUGCUCUUCCAUUCUUCAUCCCUGUCUCCUGAGUUGAGCUGGGUUGCCGAGUGGCUUGGUUCUGGCUGGCCUCCCAUAAAGACCUGUAUCUGAAGCAGAUUACCAAUUGGCAAGCACAAUGGACUCA